RNAcentral lists this ribosomal RNA (471 nucleotides) under uncultured bacterium. RNAcentral's name for it is "bacterial SSU rRNA". It matches the Rfam family "Bacterial small subunit ribosomal RNA", at positions 28 to 498 of the family's 1533-position model. The record is from RNAcentral.
GAUGAACGCUAGCGGCAGGCUUAACACAUGCAAGUCGAGGGGUAGAGGAAGCUUGCUUCCUUGAGACCGGCGCACGGGUGCGUAACGCGUAUACAAUCUACCUUUUACAGAGGGAUAGCCCAGAGAAAUUUGGAUUAAUACCUCAUAGUAUUUUCGGAUCGCAUGAUUUGAUUAUUAAAGUUCCAACGGUAAAGAUGAGUAUGCGUCCAUUAGCUAGAUGGUAAGGUAACGGCUUACCAUGGCAAUGAUGGGUAGGGGUCCUGAGAGGGAGAUCCCCCACACUGGUACUGAGACACGGACCAGACUCCUACGGGAGGCAGCAGUGAGGAAUAUUGGACAAUGGGCGCAAGCCUGAUCCAGCCAUGCCGCGUGCAGGAAUAAAGGUCCUAAUGGAUUGUAAACUGCUUUUAUACAGGAAGAAACACACCCUCGUGAGGGUACUUGACGGUACUGUAUGAAUAAGGACCGGCU